RNAcentral lists this microRNA precursor (85 nucleotides) under Cebus imitator (Panamanian white-faced capuchin). Its description in RNAcentral is "miRNA (ENSCCAG00000011275.1)". The record is from RNAcentral. Lineage: Eukaryota; Metazoa; Chordata; Mammalia; Primates; Cebidae.
GUAUUAGGUUGGUGCAAAAGUAAUUGCAGUUUUUGCCAUUACAUUGAAGAGUAAAAACCACAAUUACUUUUGCACCAACCUAAUA